Molecule: small RNA, 113 nt
Filed under: Arabidopsis thaliana (thale cress)
Lineage: Eukaryota; Viridiplantae; Streptophyta; Magnoliopsida; Brassicales; Brassicaceae
Description: ATSL113030
Source: RNAcentral
GACACCAGGGAGUUUCGAUUGGAUGUCCUUAAACAUGUUCUCAACACGAAUCAUAGGAGGAGCACGGCGGAAUUGAUUACCCUCCUCAAACACUUGAAAGGGAGAAGCAAUUU